UAGUUUUGUUGGAGUGUUCCUAGAAGCC
Molecule: non-coding RNA, 28 nt
Filed under: Mus musculus (house mouse)
Lineage: Eukaryota; Metazoa; Chordata; Mammalia; Rodentia; Muridae
Source: RNAcentral